This 390-nucleotide ribosomal RNA is filed under the name uncultured Aerococcus sp. RNAcentral describes it as "bacterial SSU rRNA". It matches the Rfam family "Bacterial small subunit ribosomal RNA", at positions 155 to 525 of the family's 1533-position model. Lineage: Bacteria; Bacillati; Bacillota; Bacilli; Lactobacillales; Aerococcaceae. The record is from RNAcentral.
AAACGGUGCUAAUACCGCAUAGGAAGUUUGUUCGCAUGAACAAACUUAGAAAAGAUGGCUCUGCUAUCGCUUAUCGAUGGCCUUGCGGUGCAUUAACUAGUCGGCGAGGGUAACGGGCUCACCAAGGUGAUGAUGCAUAGCCGACCUGAGAGGGUAAUCGGCCACAUUGGGACUGAGACACGGCCCAAACUCCUACGGGAGGCAGCAGUAGGGAAUCUUCCGCAAUGGACGCAAGUCUGACGGAGCAACGCCGCGUGAGUGAAGAAGGUUUUCGGAUCGUAAAACUCUGUUGUAAGAGAAGAACAAAUUGUAGAGUAACUGCUACAGUCUUGACGGUAUCUUACCAGAAAAGCCACGGGCUAACUACGUGCCAGCAGCCGCGGGUAAAUA